GAGUUUGAUCUUGGCUCAGAUUGAACGCUGGCGGCAUGCCUUACACAUGCAAGUCGAACGGCAGCACGGGAGCUUGCUCCUGGUGGCGAGUGGCGAACGGGUGAGUAAUGCAUCGGAACGUAUCCUGGAGUGGGGGAUAACGUAGCGAAAGUUACGCUAAUACCGCAUAUUCUGUGAGCAGGAAAGCGGGGGACCUUCGGGCCUCGCGCUCUUGGAGCGGCCGAUGUCGGAUUAGCUAGUUGGUGAGGUAAAGGCUCACCAAGGCGACGAUCCGUAGCAGGUCUGAGAGGAUGAUCUGCCACACUGGAACUGAGACACGGUCCAGACUCCUAUGGGAGGCAGCAGUGGGGAAUUUUGGACAAUGGGGGCAACCCUGAUCCAGCCAUGCCGCGUGAGUG
RNAcentral lists this ribosomal RNA (398 nucleotides) under bacterium enrichment culture clone ALO1_GLFRUDD03HAQJI. RNAcentral's name for it is "bacterial SSU rRNA". It matches the Rfam family "Bacterial small subunit ribosomal RNA", at positions 9 to 407 of the family's 1533-position model. The record is from RNAcentral.